GGAAUCAUUGGGUUUAAAGGGUCCGCAGGCGGCCAGAUAAGUCAGUGGUGAAAUUCCGUGGCUCAACCACGGAACUGCCAUUGAUACUGUUUGGCUUGAAUCAGUUCGAGGAUGCCGGAAUGUGUGGUGUAGCGGUGAAAUGCAUAGAUAUCACACAGAACACCAAUUGCGAAGGCAGGUGUCCAGAACUGUAUUGACGCUGAUGGACGAAAGCGUGGGUAGCGAACAGGAUUAGAUACCCUGGUAGUCCACGCCGUAAACGAUGGUCACUAGCUGUCCGGACUUAGGUCUGGGUGGCCAAGCGAAAGUGAUAAGUGACCCACCUGGGGAGUACGUUCGCAAGAAUGAAACUCAAAGGAAUUGACGGGGGCCCGCACAAGCGGUGGAGCAUGUGGUUUAAUUCGAUGAUACGCGAGGAACCUUACCAGGGCUUAAAUGCAUUAUGACAGGGGUGGAGACACCCUUUUCUUCGGACAUUUUGCAAGGUGCUGCAUGGUUGUCGUCAGCUCGUGCCGUGAGGUGUCAGGUUAAGUCCUAUAACGAGCGCAACCCCUGUUGUUAGUUGCCAGCGAGUAAUGUCGGGAACUCUAGCAAGACUGCCGGUGCAAACCGCGAGGAAGGUGGGGAUGACGUCAAAUCAUCACGGCCCUUACGCCCUGGGCCACACACGUGCUACAAUGGCAGGUACAGCAAGCAGCCACUGGGCGACCAGGAGCGAAUCUGUAAAGCCUGUCACAGUUCGGAUCGGAG
RNAcentral lists this ribosomal RNA (750 nucleotides) under Croceibacter atlanticus. RNAcentral's name for it is "bacterial SSU rRNA". It matches the Rfam family "Bacterial small subunit ribosomal RNA", at positions 547 to 1303 of the family's 1533-position model. The record is from RNAcentral. Lineage: Bacteria; Pseudomonadati; Bacteroidota; Flavobacteriia; Flavobacteriales; Flavobacteriaceae.